UGAGAGGAGAUGAGCGUGGGACGUUAGGUGUUGAUGAGGAAUGCUGUUUCGAACGGGAUAUGUGGAAGAAAUCUGGACGCAUAGGAUAAGGAUGAACUCGGAACAGGGGCGCAGAGGAGAUGAUGUUGUUUUGUUGCUGGGAAGAAAUCGGCUGAUAGCUGGGGGGUUUGGGAAGUUCAUGAGAUUUGACUUUAUCCCAUGGAGAUGGAAGAUUGGAUUCUCUGAUUCGUGGGAUCUUGGGAAGGAUGCGGAGAAGCUCGGCUGGAAGUGAUUCUGAAACAGGGGAAGGCGUGGGUGAAUGAAGAGAAGUUGAGGAGGUUUGGGAACGGCUGUGAAAUGAUCCGGAAGCUGUUGGGGCUUUGAUCCGAACGUUGGGGAGAAUCUCGAAGGCUGGUAGGAGCUACACUUAUUCAUGGCCGAUGAAGGAUUUGCUGUGAAUGAGGGGGUUUGGGACUUAUCCGAAGCAGGGGAAUGUGCCGUGAAGCUCGGGAGGAUAAAGCUGCGGACGUCGAGCAGAGGAGAUGAACUCUGUUUUGAGGCUGGGAUGAGAAUAAGGAAAUAGACUCGGUUGGUUGUGCUGCCGUUGGUUUGGGCUUAUCCGUGGGACGCGGAAGCUGAUCUUGCGAACGGGAAGAAGCUUGAGGUUGGUUGGCAGCGGGAUAAGGAUGGAAUUUGAAUUGAAAAAUAUAAAACCCGUGUCUCUUUGUUAGGGCUGCAUCCAGCCCUAGAGAGGAGCUCAGGCUUCCAUGCAGUGGUAGACGGUAGCAGCAGCACAGCAGCAGGCUCCCAUUUCUAUCACGAUCGGCUUCCUCUGCCUCAGCACUUCAUUUUUUUCUUUCUUGUGAGAAGGCAUUCCCAAAAAGACCCAAACUCUUCCCUCUCCUGUUAUUUCAUCUUCUUCCGUGGGAACUUCACCUGUGAACCCGAGCUUGCCUUCCUCCCGAUUGGAAAAAGGAGGAAUGGGAGCAGUCCCCGGUGGGAAAGAAGGAAUGCUCCUCUCGGUUCACGCUGGGCCUUUUAUAGGCUGCAACUUCCCCUCGUUCUUCUCCUCUGUGGCUGAUCCAAAUGGGAGGAUAAGGUCGUGGAAGUUGAUCUGAUCCGAAGGAGGUUGAGAGGAGAUGAGCGUGGGACGUUAGGUGUUGAUGAGGAAUGCUGUUUCGAACGGGAUGUGCGGAAGAAAUCUGGACGCAUAGGAUAAGGAUGAACUCGGAACAGGGGCGCAGAGGAGAUGAUGUUGUUUGUGCUGGGAAGAAAUCGGCUGAUAGCUGGGAGGUUUGGGAAGUUCAUGAGAUUUGACUUUAUCCCAUGGAGAUGGAAGAUGGGAUUCUCUGAUUCGUGGGAUCUUGGGAAGGAUGCGGAGAAGCUCGGCUGUCGGCAAGUGGUUGGGAUAGAUUUCGGAAGAGAUUAAUCCAAAACAGGGGAAUGGAAGAUGGCUGGAUACUCUGUUCCGAUUUGGUUUUGGUUGGGAAGAAAUGAAGAUCUUGGAUGACCGAAGCAUGGAGGAAGUGGACGAGAUAGGCUUAGAUGCUGGAUGCGAAGAUCAUGGGAUAUGGCCUGAUCUGUUCAAUGCGAAGGAGAAGCUUGGACGAUGGCUGGAAAUGGAUGCGGAGGAGAUGAGGAUUUGAGUUUAUCAGGCUCUGUUUGAACUGCUCACGGGAUGGGGAGAUGAGCUGGGAUUUAUUCCGAAGAAGGGAUAAGGAUGCUGGGAGAUUGAGCUAGAAGAAAAGGAUGGCUUGGUUCUGUUCUUUGAACAUGGGAGGGAGAGUGACAUGGAAGCUUAAUUUCUAAGCACUAAAAGGGUGACGUGGACAUGGGUUCAGCUACAAAUGCGACCUGCACAAAUUAGUUCAGACAUCAUCCCAAUUAGUUCGACUCGAUCUGCACAUAUUAGAAUUGACCAAUAAAAUCAAGCAAACUCGAAUUAUUUUUAAUAAUGCCAUGACGAAGGGGAACACAUUUUCUUAUGUUAAAUUCACUAUAUAUAUGAAUUAAAAUAAUGAUAAGUGCUAUGAAUAAGAUAUUAAUUUAUGCAUUAUUUAGUACUUAUCACAGCCCCCCAACCUACAUUUUGCUAGUCCUCAAGCAAAAUAAAAGCUAACUCACUUUCGCAGGAAUCACGAUUGCUUUUACCGUAUGCAAUAAGGCUUUAAACCCCUAGGUGGCCCUAGUGGACGAGUUUUAUCUCGUGAGGGUUUCCGGCUCAGAUACCCAC
This 2212-nucleotide long non-coding RNA is filed under the name Phoenix dactylifera (date palm). Its description in RNAcentral is "long non-coding RNA (PDAC_LNC011491)". The record is from RNAcentral. Lineage: Eukaryota; Viridiplantae; Streptophyta; Magnoliopsida; Arecales; Arecaceae.